RNAcentral lists this ribosomal RNA (505 nucleotides) under uncultured Glomus. RNAcentral's name for it is "SSU rRNA". It matches the Rfam family "Eukaryotic small subunit ribosomal RNA", at positions 572 to 1078 of the family's 1831-position model. Lineage: Eukaryota; Fungi; Glomeromycota; Glomeromycetes; Glomerales; Glomeraceae. The record is from RNAcentral.
AGCCGCGGUAAUUCCAGCUCCAAUAGCGUAUAUUAAAGUUGUUGCAGUUAAAAAGCUCGUAGUUGAAUUUCGGGGUUAGUAGGUUGGUCAUGCCUCUGGUAUGUACUGGUCUCACUGAUUCCUCCUUCCUGAUGAGCCGUAAUGCCAUUAAUUUGGUGUUGCGGGGAAUUUGGACUGUUACUUUGAAAAAAUUAGAGUGUUUAAAGCAAGCUAACGCUUGAAUACAUUAGCAUGGAAUAAUGAAAUAGGACGUUCGAUCCUAUUUUGUUGGUUUCUAGGAUUGACGUAAUGAUUAAUAGGGAUAGUUGGGGGCAUUAGUAUUCAAUUGUCAGAGGUGAAAUUCUUGGAUUUAUUGAAGACUAACUACUGCGAAAGCAUUUGCCAAGGAUGUUUUCAUUAAUCAAGAACGAAAGUUAGGGGAUCGAAGACGAUCAGAUACCGUCGUAGUCUUAACCAUAAACUAUGCCGACUAGGGAUCGGAUGAUGUUAAUUUUUUAAUGACUCA